GACGAACGCUGGCGGCGUGCUUAACACAUGCAAGUCGAACGGAAAGGCCCUGCUUUUGUGGGGUGCUCGAGUGGCGAACGGGUGAGUAACACGUGAGUAACCUGCCCUUGACUUUGGGAUAACUUCAGGAAACAGGGGGCUAAUACCGGAUAGGAGCUCCUGCUGCAUGGUGGGGGUUGGAAAGUUUCGGCGGUUGGGGAUGGACUCGCGGCUUAUCAGCUUGUUGGUGGGGUAGUGGCUUACCAAGGCUUUGACGGGUAGCCGGCCUGAGAGGGUGACCGGCCACAUUGGGACUGAGAUACGGCCCAGACUCCUACGGGAGGCAGCAGUGGGGAAUAUUGCACAAUGGGCGGAAGCCUGAUGCAGCAACGCCGGGUGCGGGAUGACGGCCUUCGGGUUGUAAACCGCUUUCGCCUGUGACGAAGCGUGAGUGACGGUAAUGGGUAAAGAAGCACCGGCUAACUACGUG
This 469-nucleotide ribosomal RNA is filed under the name uncultured bacterium. RNAcentral describes it as "partial 16S ribosomal RNA". It matches the Rfam family "Bacterial small subunit ribosomal RNA", at positions 28 to 507 of the family's 1533-position model. The record is from RNAcentral.